Amaranthus tricolor (Joseph's coat) is the source of this 1722-nucleotide long non-coding RNA. RefSeq lists it as uncharacterized. The transcript has 3 exons. NCBI's taxonomy places the organism in Eukaryota, Viridiplantae, Streptophyta, Magnoliopsida, Caryophyllales, Amaranthaceae. The record is from RefSeq and is a predicted model, not a curated record.
AUGCAAUUCACCAUUGCUUAAAUUUUGAGGUGGGAACAAAAAAAUUUUGGGUCGAAAUUUUUGGCUUGCGAUACGAUUUGUUCCGGAUCGAGAUACGAUUUGGGAUCGAUUACUUUCUAUCAAUAAUUUUUUUAUAACAUAUAACAUCUUGGAAAAAAAAAAUUUUUGUGUAUUUUUAACAUUUAACAUCAAUUUCUCUCUCUGUAUAUUUUCUAUGACAUUUAACAUGAAUUUCACUAUUCAACAUUUAAUAUAUGUAAUUUUUAACAAUCAAUUAAAGUAUAGGAGACAAGUUAUUAAAGUAUUUUAGAGUACCAAUGUACAUUCAUAUUACUUUCUGACAUAUGACUCUUCACCUCUCCACACUUGAUUAUUAUUUGCUCAAAAGUUUUUAACAAAUGCUCAAAGUUACUAUACGGUCAUCUCCUAUUCUCCUUCCAUCUUCAUCAGAACCAUAUUGGAGCUUCAAUGGUGCUUAUCAAGGUUUGGGAUCGAUUGAUUCAACAUUCCAGGUCGUGAAUCCACGUGUUCCAGAACGCCAGUGACCCGCAAUUGGGGUCGCACGAUCCAGAUCGGGGGUCGGAGGCCAAACCAUCGAUCCUGGCUACACUGAGUCAAAACUUGUAGCAGCAAUUCCAAGUGGUUUCCCUCUAGCAUGCACGAUGUAGUUUCCAAUGAUAGAAAGUAUACAGCAAGUGUCCUAAUAGAAACACAAACUCUUCCCAGCAAAAAGUCAACAUGUACAACAACCCACUCCUCACAUAAUGCUCCUAACCAUGGCAGGGAUAUGGGUAUGUAAGAAGGGAAUAUGUGCCACCCCCAUGAAAUUGCAUAAAGACUAUCACAUUUAGUUGAUUACAGUUCAAAUCUAUAUAUGUACAUGGUAGACUUCAUCUAGGUCAUGCUUAACAAUAAAGAAGAAAAAUAGAUUUGCGUGAAAGAUGGAAUUAAAUUAUUAUAUAAAGUACUUAAGGAAUGAAGAGAUGAUGAUUGCUCCCCACACUCAUGCUGUCAGUGUUACUCACCAUAGUUGAUCCACCUCCAUAUAAAUUAAUCUAGUAUUUCCAAGGAUUUCGACAAGUUAUACACCCAAUACUAACACGCAGAGUUUGAGAUGGGUAACCGAUUAGAGAAACAUAAGUAAUGAUGCAUUUCCAAUUGGGGAAGUACAGUUCCUCGACUAAGUCCUAAUACCCAUCUUGCGGCUUGCAAUCAUCUAAGUCAUUCCAAAUUUGAACUACAAAUCAAUUCCUAUUGCUUCCUAGAUCAUUCCAAGCAUGGCACGAGUAUUAAAUCUUCUGACAUAGCUUACAAAAAUGUGCAUUUGCAAACAGAACUCCGUAUUGAAGUACACAAUAAAAAUCAACUCAAGCUGGAGAACUUAGGACCAUAUGGCGUUAAUAUUGAAUUGUUUAACAUAUUACAAAUAAAAUGGAGUACACAAGAGUGUUAGGCCUUCAUUAGUAUCCUGAAAUCGUCGCUUACUUUAAUUUCUAUUUAUAAUUAAAAUUAUAAAAUAAGAACUCACCGUAUAGAAUGCCCAACACAAGAGCGCAAACAACAGCUGUUACACCCACCCAUAACAUGGCGCUUUUAACCCGCUUUCCGAUACUCCUACAAGAAAAACACCAAUCGCGGCCAAUAUCAGCAACAAAAACAAUCAACAAAAUCCUGAAAAAAAAAAACGUAUAUCAAUUGAUUGCACAAAUAAGCACCAUACUU